UAAUACGGAGGGGGCAAGCGUUGUUCGGAAUUAUUGGGCGUAAAGCGCGUGUAGGCGGUAAAGUAAGUCAAACGUGAAAGUCAACGGCUCAACCGGGGGAAUUGCGUUUGAUACUGCUUUACUAGAGUACGGGAGAGGAGAGUGGAAUUCCUAGUGUAGCAGUGAAAUGCGUAGAUAUUAGGAAGAACACCGGUGGCGAAGGCGGCUCUCUGGACCGUUACUGACGCUGAGACGCGAAAGCCAGGGGAGCGAACGGGAUUAGAUACCCCGGUAGUCCUGGCCGUAAACGAUGGGUACUAGGUGAAGGAGGUAUCGAUCCCUUCUGUGCCGUAGCUAACGCAUUAAGUACCCCGCCUGGGGAGUACGGUCGCAAGGCUG
RNAcentral lists this ribosomal RNA (378 nucleotides) under uncultured delta proteobacterium. Its description in RNAcentral is "bacterial SSU rRNA". It matches the Rfam family "Bacterial small subunit ribosomal RNA", at positions 521 to 896 of the family's 1533-position model. The record is from RNAcentral. Lineage: Bacteria; Deltaproteobacteria.